GGGCAAAAGUUUGGCAAGUCUUUGGCAAAACUUGGAUUCAGGAGACAUCAAAGUUUAACUCAAGUUUUACCCAACUCUUGCCA
RNAcentral lists this microRNA precursor (83 nucleotides) under Caenorhabditis elegans. RNAcentral's name for it is "mir-266 microRNA precursor family". It matches the Rfam family "mir-266 microRNA precursor family". The record is from Rfam by way of RNAcentral. Lineage: Eukaryota; Metazoa; Nematoda; Chromadorea; Rhabditida; Rhabditidae.